RNAcentral lists this ribosomal RNA (301 nucleotides) under uncultured bacterium. Its description in RNAcentral is "partial 16S ribosomal RNA". It matches the Rfam family "Bacterial small subunit ribosomal RNA", at positions 509 to 807 of the family's 1533-position model. The record is from RNAcentral.
CAGUCGCCGCGGGAAUACGAAGGGGGCUAGCGUUGCUCGGAAUGACUGGGCGUAAAGGGCUCGCAGGCGGUUUCUUAAGUCUGAUGUGAAAGCCCCCGGCUCAACCGGGGAGGGUCAUUGGAAACUGGGAAACUUGAGUGCAGAAGAGGAGAGUGGAAUUCCACGUGUAGCGGUGAAAUGCGUAGAGAUGUGGAGGAACACCAGUGGCGAAGGCGACUCUCUAGUCUGUAACUGACGCUGAGGAGCGAAAGCGUGGGGAGCGAACAGGAUUAGAUACCCCCGUAGUCCCUGUCUCUUAUAC